UACUUGUAUACAAGCUGAUGACGUCGAAUGAUACCAAUAUCGUUUUCUCGUUUAUAUUUGUAGAAAACGAUAUUGGUAUCAUUCGACGUCAUCAGCUUGUAUA
Molecule: non-coding RNA, 103 nt
Organism: Paramuricea clavata
Lineage: Eukaryota; Metazoa; Cnidaria; Anthozoa; Malacalcyonacea; Plexauridae
Source: the annotation of a GenBank genome assembly